CUUAUCCCUUGUAAGGCAUGACAUGUUUCCGUAGCAUAUCUAAUGAAUUACAGAACUACACCUACCGAUAACCUAUUAAAUAUACUAUAAAUGAUUUUAAACUAAACAUAACAUUUUAUUUAAUCUUUAUUUUACGGAAAACUACAUUAUGGCGGUUAAAACUUUAGAAAAACCCAAAAUUUAUAACCUGUUGAAAUCAUAAAAUAAAUCAAAUAAAAGAUUUCAUUCAAUCUGUUUCACAAGCAUAAUAAAUUUAAUUAUAUUUCAAGUAGACAUUCAUUAGAUGAAGUAAACUUAAUAUUACAAAAGUCAAAAUAAAGUACAAAUAUUUACAAACUCAAAAUGCUUUAGCAAUGUAAUGCUUUUUAAUACAAGCUGCUCAAUAUUCGUACAUCCAUACAUAUAGAUACAAAUUACAUCAAAAGGAAAUUACAGGGGUAUACCUACUAUAUAUACCCACAGUCAAUACAAAAUGCUGCUUCCAAGUCUCUUACUUAGCAGCCUUCUCCUUUCCCUUACCUGCGACAGCAUAAAUAAGCUAUCACUGAGUAUAUCACUCAGUGGUGCACAACUAAGAAUUUCAAAACUUAAAAUAACGCACAACUUGUCAAAACAUAAUAAAUUAUAUUUUCCAUAAGCAUGAAAAUAUCACAAUAGUUCUAAGUCCAUAGAAACUAUUUAUUAAAAUCACCUUUCAAAUGAGAAAUCAUACUUCACAAAUCACAAUUCACAAAGCAUAAGUGUUGCCAACAUUAACACACAGGUUAGACUAUGACACAAAAUUUCACAAUCAAUGUCGUGUUGUACACCACGACAAGACACACUCACCCCAAUAAUCAAAAUCAAUGAGGGAGGAAGCUAGC
RNAcentral lists this unclassified non-coding RNA (863 nucleotides) under Hevea brasiliensis (rubber tree). Lineage: Eukaryota; Viridiplantae; Streptophyta; Magnoliopsida; Malpighiales; Euphorbiaceae. The record is from RNAcentral.